Molecule: non-coding RNA, 213 nt
Organism: Vicia faba (fava bean)
Lineage: Eukaryota; Viridiplantae; Streptophyta; Magnoliopsida; Fabales; Fabaceae
Source: the annotation of a GenBank genome assembly
AUGCUACUACACCUUAGGCGAAUCGCUCAGGAAGAAACAUAUCACAUCAUCGGAUGCAGAAAGGUCGAAAAAUAUGAAGAAUCAGUGAGUUCUAUGCUUACCUUCCAGAGAUGCUCUGGCGGCUCUUUAAGGAGAACGGUGAUAGAACCAGAAACCCCGAUCCAAGCUGCUAACUCCAGGUUUGGUGUUAAUGUGAAGUACCUUUGGUCAUGA